RNAcentral lists this long non-coding RNA (353 nucleotides) under Mus spicilegus (steppe mouse). RNAcentral describes it as "lncRNA (ENSMSIG00000020462.1)". The record is from RNAcentral. Lineage: Eukaryota; Metazoa; Chordata; Mammalia; Rodentia; Muridae.
CCCCACUCCAUUCUACCCCAACUGCUGCUUCUUCGUCCUUCUCAAUCCUUCCACCAUCAUCUCCAUCCAACAGAAAGCUCUGGUGACCAUGGGGAGAUCACAGAAGCAUGGUGGGAUUCCUGCACCUCAGAGGUGGACUAGAGCUCCUAAGACAACAUGAUGAAGACAUCCUGCAAAUACAGGAGCUGAGAAAAUCCAAAGAGAUCUUGGAGUCUGAAUUGAGGGCACAAGCUACUGUUCUGGAGACCCUUUACAAAUGCCAGAAAGAACUCAAGAGACAGGCAAGUCCUGGUUAGACUGAGAACUGGGCUGGAGAGGAACCUGGAGAACUGCUGUUCUGCCCAAGAGCUAUG